UACGUAGGGGGCAAGCGUUGUCCGGAAUUAUUGGGCGUAAAGGGCGCGUAGGCGGCUUGAUGUGUCAAAGGUGAAAUCCCUCGGCUCAACUGAGGAACUGCCUUUGAAACUGUCUGGCUUGAGGCCGGGAGAGGGUAGCGGAAUUCCCAGUGUAGCGGUGAAAUGCGUAGAUACUGGGAGGAACACCGGUGGCGAAGGCGGCUACCUGGACCGGUUCUGACGCUGAUGAGCGAAAGCUAGGGGAGCAAACGGG
Molecule: ribosomal RNA, 253 nt
Filed under: uncultured bacterium
Lineage: Bacteria
Description: partial 16S ribosomal RNA
Rfam family: Bacterial small subunit ribosomal RNA
Source: RNAcentral